RNAcentral lists this long non-coding RNA (1270 nucleotides) under Anas platyrhynchos platyrhynchos (common mallard). RNAcentral describes it as "lncRNA (ENSAPLG00000031151.1)". Lineage: Eukaryota; Metazoa; Chordata; Aves; Anseriformes; Anatidae. The record is from RNAcentral.
UCAUAACUGAGUAAAGCAUCACAAUGGGUUCUUGUCUUAUAAUACUGCCAGACUCCCUGACAUUUGCAGAUGUCUCAAGGUCAUUUAUAGCACUCAGAAACUGGGCACUUUCAGUCUCUGCCUUUUGACUUCAGCUCUUGCUUCAGUGACAUCCUCUGAUUGUGUGGGUAAUGGAAAGAACUGGAUCUGCUUCACAGUGAGGAAUCAACCAACAACUGAAAUCAAGGCACUGAAGCCUGGAUGAAUGCCAAGCCUCUGGCAAAGCAAAGGAAAACCAACUGUGCAAGACACGAACAUCAGCAACAACAGGGUGGUGGUGUGGCUUUGGAUGGAUCCCUGCACUUAUGUAUAAAACACUCUCUUGUGAAGAACCUUUUUCACAAAUACUCAAGGACAUCAAAUAAAUAAUUUUUAUGAUUUCUAUGUUCAAAAAAAAAAAAAAAAAGUGUUAAAAACCAUCUAUUCACCAAGGAUAUCUAAUUAAAAUACGUGUCUCAUUUUAAUAGUGGAAUGGUUUGGUCUUAAGUAUCAACUUGCUUUGCUCUUCAGGAAAGUGCUUUAAAGGGAACUCUCAGUGAUAGGCUGACCUGAAGUGAAGUGCUCUCCCCUCAUCCUUCCCACAAGCGUAUGAAUGCCAAUAUCUUGAACUGAUUACUGUUAGUGGGAGUGUUGGUAGGUGUCAGGUCAGAACAAUUUCAUUUUUAUAGCUCAGAUCAUCUGCAUGUAGGCAUAACUUAACAAGAAGCAGUCAAAACAAUUUCAAAAAUACAAACCGUCUGUUUUUUUUUUUUUGUUAUUGUUGUUUGUUUGUUUUGUUUUUCACCUCUCCCAAGAGAUUUUGCUUCUUUAUAUGCUCCUUUAUACAGCUUCCAGAAGCAUUCAAUUGAAUGCUUCUUGGAUAAUUCCUCUAAUUUUCUAAAUGUACACAAAAUUCUAUGCUGAAACCAGUUUUUCCAAAAACUUUACAAGUCACUGAAGUCUGGACUCUGCCUCUUAAGGGUCACUCAUAAGGGCAUCUUCACGAGGAAAAAAAAAAAAAAAAGAAAAAAAAAAGUGACAAGGUGUAAUCUACACCCAUAAAGGAUGUUUCAGAAUAUUGAACUUGGGUACUUGGGUUUCCCCUUCACCCAGGCCUGUGACAGUCCUUCUUCUAAUAUUCACUUUUCCCUCAAAGGAAAUUAUUGUAUGCUAGCAGAACCAAGGCUUUUUCACCUGCUUCUCAUUUUCUUACUGGAAUAAAAUCCAUAGAAAGGUAGGGCUGGAAAAGACC